Molecule: ribosomal RNA, 401 nt
Filed under: uncultured bacterium
Lineage: Bacteria
Description: bacterial SSU rRNA
Rfam family: Bacterial small subunit ribosomal RNA
Source: RNAcentral
AACGAACGUUAGCGGCGCGCCUAACACAUGCAAGUCGCACGAGAAAGGGCUUCGGCCCCGGUAAAGUGGCGCACGGGUGAGUAACACGUGGGUAACCUGCCCUCGAGCGGGGGAUGACAUUCCGAAAGGAGUGCUAAUACCGCAUAAGACCACGACCUCGAAAGAGGAUGGGGUCAAAGCUGGCCUCUAUACAUAAGCUAGCACUUGAGGAUGGGCCCGCGGCGCAUCAGGUAGUUGGUGAGGUAACGGCUCACCAAGCCUAAGACGCGUAGCUGGUCUGAGAGGAUGAUCAGCCACACUGGAACUGAGACACGGUCCAGACUCCUACGGGAGGCAGCAGUGGGGGAAUCUUGCGCAAUGGACGAAAGUCUGACGCAGCGACGCCGCGUGAGUGAUGAAGG